RNAcentral lists this unclassified non-coding RNA (1086 nucleotides) under Hevea brasiliensis (rubber tree). Lineage: Eukaryota; Viridiplantae; Streptophyta; Magnoliopsida; Malpighiales; Euphorbiaceae. The record is from RNAcentral.
AAUCGCAUUGCGAGUGGCAGCCAUGAGAAUUACCCUGCAUAGAUAACUGGUAUGGCCUUCUUUUGCAGGGUAGAGAAUAGGUAUAAUUGGCAACUCAUACUCUGAUCAGUUAAAUAAUAUUUCGUCACCAUCUCCUCUCCUGGGCCAUGGUUGGCCAGAAGCAGAAGUUGAAACAGAGUUGCAGAAAUUCAAUAGCUUGUCUAUGCUCUAGUUUGGUGAAUACAACUGGUGAGGGAAAUACCCUUGCAUCCAUGAAACUCAUUGAUAAAAAAGGGCCAUGCACAGUCUUCAGCUCCUGCAUAAACUCAUUUAAAUAUUGUAAUUCUCUGCCAAGGCAACCAUAAUGACGAGCAAUGGUAGGCAUGCAACACUUGCAUAAACUCAUUUUUUUGACACAUGAACCAACAUAUUAAUAUAUAUAGAAGCUGUCAGGGAAUCAGGAUGAAAUUGCAUGUAGGAUUUCAAUCGUCUUUAAUGCCCACGCGCAAUUGGAUAACCUAAGAAUCAUGAAAUUAGCAAAUUCGAGACACAAAUAAGCUAUAUAAGCUUCAUAAAGAUCAUAUUAGAUUCUCAAUUGAGUAAAGGUAAUUAAAUAGGAAAAUAAAACACAAGAUAUACAUACAUGGCCUUUCCAGGGGAAAAGGAAAGAAGAGCUGUACGAAAUUAUAAUAAACCAGCAAAACAAAGCUGUAAAUCCUGAUUGGGAUAGGUUUUCCCAAUUCCCACACAAGAACCUACAAAAAAAUUCUCUCGAAAGAAGUGCACAAAAAAUGAUUGAACAUAAAAAAGUUUAAAAUUACUUCAAUUAAAUUGUGAAAUGGAAAAGCCAGUUUCGUACGAAGCUCGUCAUCUCUUCCAGCUUCGACUUCUUGAGAAUGGAUCUCCCAUUCCACCAACAACCCAUGUUUCUUUUGCUAUAUCAGAUGAAAUUUUGCGGAAUUCGGUGUCAUAUCUCAUCACCACCAAGCUCUCUUUCUUGGUAUUUCUUUUUUCUUCUUCCAUUAAGGCCUCUAAACUCUUUCCUUUCUUAUCUUCUGUUUUCCUAUUCUCUUCUUGUUCUUCUGCUUCUUCCUCCUCGUCGUCGUC